GAUGAGAUGACUGAGGGGCUAAGGUGGUAAUUUGCUAAAUUACUUAAGCAUGAGCUUUGCAUGGGUUCGAGUCCCAUUCUCAUCG
This 85-nucleotide transfer RNA is filed under the name Cinachyrella kuekenthali. RNAcentral's name for it is "tRNA-Ser". It matches the Rfam family "tRNA". Rfam says of the family: Transfer RNA (tRNA) molecules are approximately 80 nucleotides in length. Their secondary structure includes four short double-helical elements and three loops (D, anti-codon, and T loops). Lineage: Eukaryota; Metazoa; Porifera; Demospongiae; Tetractinellida; Tetillidae. The record is from RNAcentral.